Molecule: non-coding RNA, 364 nt
Organism: Bacillus sp. HMSC76G11
Lineage: Bacteria; Bacillati; Bacillota; Bacilli; Caryophanales; Bacillaceae
Source: Rfam
GGGGACGUUACGGAUUCGACAGGGAUAGUUCGAGCUUUAGUUGCGAGUCGAGGGGAUCGUCCUCGUUAAAACGUCACGCCAAUAAUAACUGGCAAAACUAACAACAACUUCGCUUUAGCUGCUUAAUAACAGACUAUAGCGGUUCCUCCCUCCAUCGCCCAUGUGGUAGGGUAAGGGACUCACUCUAAGUGGGCUACGCCUGAUGCCUCCGUCUGGGGAUAAAGGAAGAGACCAAUCAGACUAGCUGCUCCGACGCCCGUUGAUAGGCAUAAGAGUUAGCGAAUUGCGAAUAUAUCAACUACACUCGUAGACGCUUUAGUGGCGAUGUUUCUGGACGUGGGUUCGACUCCCACCGUCUCCACCA